CGAACCGUGCGAACGUUGUUCGGAAUCACUGGGCUUAAAGGGCGCGUAGGCGGCCGGGUUGGUCGUGGGUGAAAUCCCCCAGCUUAACUGGGGAACUGCCUACGAUACUGCCUGGCUCGAGGGAGGAAGGGGCGGUCGGAACUGUCGGUGGAGCGGUGAAAUGCGUUGAUAUCGACAGGAACGCCGGUGGCGAAAGCGGACCGCUGGCCCUCUUCUGACGCUGAUGCGCGAAAGCCAGGGGAGCGAACGGGAUUAGAUACCCCGGUAGUCCUGGCCUUAAACGAUGGGCACUAGGUAGUGGGCUCGACCUGGGCGCACUGCCGCAGCGAAAGUCAUUAGUGCCCCGCCUGGGGAGUAUGGUCGCAAGGCUG
Molecule: ribosomal RNA, 371 nt
Filed under: uncultured organism
Description: bacterial SSU rRNA
Rfam family: Bacterial small subunit ribosomal RNA
Source: RNAcentral